This 253-nucleotide ribosomal RNA is filed under the name uncultured bacterium. RNAcentral describes it as "partial 16S ribosomal RNA". It matches the Rfam family "Bacterial small subunit ribosomal RNA", at positions 524 to 776 of the family's 1533-position model. The record is from RNAcentral.
UACGAACUGUGCGAACGUUAUUCGGAAUCACUGGGCUUACAGGGUGCGUAGGCGGCUUGUUAAGUAGGGUGUGAAAGCCCCCGGCUCAACCGGGGAAUUGCGCCCUAAACUGGCGAGCUGGAGUGAGAUAGGGGUGUGUGGAACUUCCGGUGGAGCGGUGAAAUGUGUUGAUAUCGGAAGGAACGCCGGUGGCGAAAGCGGCUUCCUGGACCGACACUGACGCUGAGGCGCGAAAGCUAGGGGAGCAAACGGG